GACAGAGGGUGCAAACGUUGUUCGGAAUUACUGGGCGUAAAGCGCGUGUAGGCUGUUUCGCAAGUCGGAUGUGAAAGCCCUGGGCUCAACCUAGGAAGUGCACUCGAAACUGCGAAACUGGAGUCCUGGAGAGGAAGGCGGAAUUCUCGGUGUAGAGGUGAAAUGCGUAGAUAUCGGGAGGAACACCGGUGGCGAAGGCGGCGAUCUGGGUCGAUACUGACGCUGAGGUGCGAAAGCGUGGGGAGCAAACAGG
RNAcentral lists this ribosomal RNA (253 nucleotides) under uncultured bacterium. RNAcentral's name for it is "partial 16S ribosomal RNA". It matches the Rfam family "Bacterial small subunit ribosomal RNA", at positions 524 to 776 of the family's 1533-position model. The record is from RNAcentral.